GGAGAGGUGGCUGAGUGGUUGAAAGCGGCAGAUUGCUAAUCUGUUGUAUGGUUAUUCCAUGCCGAGGGUUCGAAUCCCUUCCUCUCCU
RNAcentral lists this transfer RNA (88 nucleotides) under Ahnfeltia plicata. RNAcentral's name for it is "tRNA-Ser". It matches the Rfam family "tRNA". Rfam says of the family: Transfer RNA (tRNA) molecules are approximately 80 nucleotides in length. The record is from RNAcentral. RNAcentral also lists the same sequence under 1 other name. Lineage: Eukaryota; Rhodophyta; Florideophyceae; Ahnfeltiales; Ahnfeltiaceae.